This 376-nucleotide unclassified non-coding RNA is filed under the name uncultured fungus. RNAcentral describes it as "partial contains small subunit ribosomal RNA, internal transcribed spacer 1, and 5.8S ribosomal RNA". The stretch from base 1 to 73 matches the Rfam family "Eukaryotic small subunit ribosomal RNA", at positions 1759 to 1831 of the family's 1831-position model. The record is from RNAcentral. Lineage: Eukaryota; Fungi.
GCAAACUUGGUCAUUUAGAGGAAGUAAAAGUCGUAACAAGGUUUCCGUAGGUGAACCUGCGGAAGGAUCAUUAUUGAAUAAACCUGAUGUAGUUGUAGCUGGCUCCUAGGAGCAUGUGCACGCUCGUCACUUUUAUCUUUCCACCUGUGCACCCAUUGUAGGCCUGGAUAACCCUCGCUUGGUUUCAAGCGGAUGCGAGAAUUGCUGUUGCUCUUUCUGCAAAGAAAGGCCAGCUCUUCUUGAAUUUCCAGGUCUAUGUUUUCUUACAUACCCCAAUUGAAUGUUACCGAAUGUUAUCAAUGGGCUUCUGCCUAUAAAACACAAUACAACUUUCAGCAACGGAUCUCUUGGCUCUCGCAUCGAUGAAGAACGCAGC